Long non-coding RNA from Suricata suricatta (meerkat), 1716 nucleotides. RefSeq lists it as uncharacterized. The record is from RefSeq and is a predicted model, not a curated record. Lineage: Eukaryota; Metazoa; Chordata; Mammalia; Carnivora; Herpestidae. The transcript has 2 exons.
GGCUCCGUGCCCCAAAGUAGGGGCCUUCUAGAACUCCAUCAGCAACCCAUGAGGGGCAAGGUCCUUCGCUGACUGCCCCACCAGGGAAGGCUCUGGGGCAAUCAGGGCGUUUGCUCUAAACCGAUUUCAUGGCCAGGUCCCUUCAGUCUGGGCGCCGGGUGCCUUCCUCUCCCUUCUCCAGCUGCGCCCGGAGAAGGGGGACACAAGCUCCCUCGGACUCCCUAGUUGCCGGCAGAUCAGUAGCCAGACCACUCCCCAGGUCCUGCGUGUGCCGAAGACAGAUUGGCUCAUCCUGAGAAACCGCAACACCCCGCCCUGCCGGGGAAGCCCUUCCCAAAGGACCCCCACCAGCCUCCCUUCACUGCUACUUGCACACAGCCCAUUCACCAGCUGGACACAAAGCUCUGUGCCCCGGCCCUGGGUCCCUGGCCAGCUUACCUUCUCACUGUCGUCUGACAGAGAGAGGCUGUCGACGCUGAGGCACGAGAGAAUCUGCUCCUGCUCCUCCAGUGAAAAGGGCUGGGACAGGCUGUUCAGAAAUAAUUCUGCAGAGGAAGGCAGAAUGUGGCUGUGAAGUCCGGGAGUGGCCCGGCCCGGCCGCGUGUCUGGCUGCACGGACCGCAGGAGCUGACCCCGGGGGAAGGAGCUAGAAGAGAGCCCCAGACUGGCUGCACAGCGGAUGACAGGGGACCCAGAGGCCACAGCCGGGGCCGCCCAUACCUAGUUCUAGCUGCUGCAGCUCCUGCUCGGGGAACGUCGCCUUCCGCUCCGCAGAGCUGGGGGUUUUGGCAGGGGCCGGCUCCAGGGAGGACAGAGGUAAUGGCUCCCAUGUUCCGGACUCCUCCUUGCACCAGUUCAGGCUUGGAGACUUGUUCCGCUCUGGGGGUUCUGGGGGCAGAGGAGGCUGGAGCUUAGGGGCCCCGCCUGUCGUGUCCUCGGUUGGCUGGGGUCCCGGAGCCCCAGGCGAGAGCUCCCUCGGCUGGGCCUGCGGGGUCCGUUGAGAGUGGCCUUGGCUGGGUGGCGGAUGGCCUUGGUGUGGUGGCGGACGUCUUGGCUCUUUAUACUCCCCCCUCCAAGGGCUCCGCAGACCUCCCACUGCAAAACAGAGCACACACAGUGAGGUGGAAGGAGGCCCGGCCAGGUGGCCCUGCCCAACCAGAGGGCUGGAGACAAGCAGUGGAGGGGCGGGUCGUGCCCCACUAAGGGACACUGUAGUCUUGGAGGCGGCCUCUUCCAUAAGACAGCCUCCCACAACCGGAACAGGACAGUAUUUCUGUCUUUUAUUCCAUUUUCCUUCUAGGUAACAAUCGCAAAUUUAAAAAUGACAGGGUUAGCUCCAGAGAAGGACUUUGUACAUAGAAAAGAUUUAAAAACAGACCUGAGUUAACACCAACUUCAAGUUCCCACGUAAACCGGCCUCCUUGACCACCUCCUCCCUCCCCUGCCCCCAUCUCUCCAACCCAUCCCUCCCCACACUCCGUGCUUUCUCUGGAGUGCAGGGGAGCAGUUCAUCUAUGUUUUGGGGGGUAUGCAGGGUCUGUCUCCCGUUUUAUUUAUUCCCCUUUCAUUCCCAUAACCACUGCCUCUCCCCUACCCACUCUCCUGGGGACAUUCUAUUCUAUAUGCCGUGUGACUUUGGGUUGAUUGUGUUUUUGCAAACUGUGGGUUGUUCUUAUUUCUCAAUAUUUAGUUUACAAAAAAGACAUUGUGCUCUAG